This 137-nucleotide long non-coding RNA is filed under the name Zosterops lateralis melanops. Its description in RNAcentral is "lncRNA (ENSZLMG00000008989.1)". The record is from RNAcentral. Lineage: Eukaryota; Metazoa; Chordata; Aves; Passeriformes; Zosteropidae.
CUCAGAUCCUUGGAUCUUAGUGAGCAAGCAAUAGGAGGGGAAGUUCGCACUGCUUCCACUGGUGCCAAGAUGAACACAAUUGACUGGUGAGAACUGAUAAAACCUCCUGAAAAGAAGAAUACAGUACUACAGGUGGG